Molecule: ribosomal RNA, 253 nt
Filed under: uncultured bacterium
Lineage: Bacteria
Description: partial 16S ribosomal RNA
Rfam family: Bacterial small subunit ribosomal RNA
Source: RNAcentral
UACGUAGGGUGCGAGCGUUAAUCGGAAUUACUGGGCGUAAAGCGUGCGUAGGCGGUUUCUUAAGUCUGCUGUGAAAGCCCUGGGCUCAACCUGGGAAUGACGGUGGAUACUGAGAAGCUGGAGUACGGUAGAGGAAGGUGGAAUUCCCGGUGUAGCGGUGAAAUGCGUAGAGAUCGGGAGGAACAUCAGUGGCGAAGGCGGCCUUCUGGACCAGUACUGACGCUGAGGCACGAAAGCGUGGGGAUCAAACAGG